AUUGAACGCUGGCGGCAUGCCUUACACAUGCAAGUCGAACGGCAGCACGGGUGCUUGCACCUGGUGGCGAGUGGCGAACGGGUGAGUAAUACAUCGGAACAUGUCCUGUAGUGGGGGAUAGCCCGGCGAAAGCCGGAUUAAUACCGCAUACGAUCUACGGAUGAAAGCGGGGGACCUUCGGGCCUCGCGCUAUAGGGUUGGCCGAUGGCUGAUUAGCUAGUUGGUGGGGUAAAGGCCUACCAAGGCGACGAUCAGUAGCUGGUCUGAGAGGACGACCAGCCACACUGGGACUGAGACACGGCCCAGACUCCUACGGGAGGCAGCAGUGGGGAAUUUUGGACAAUGGGCGAAAGCCUGAUCCAGCAAUGCCGCGUGUGUGAAUAAGGCCUUCGGGUUGUAAAGCACUUUUGUCCGGAAAGAAAUCCUUGGCCCUAAUACGGUCGGGGGAUGACGGUACCGGAAGAAUAAGCACCGGCUAACUACGUG
RNAcentral lists this ribosomal RNA (486 nucleotides) under uncultured bacterium. Its description in RNAcentral is "partial 16S ribosomal RNA". It matches the Rfam family "Bacterial small subunit ribosomal RNA", at positions 30 to 507 of the family's 1533-position model. The record is from RNAcentral.